GCUUAACACAUGCAAGUCGAGCGCCCCGCAAGGGGAGCGGCAGACGGGUGAGUAACGCGUGGGAAUCUACCCAUCUCUACGGAACAACUCCGGGAAACUGGAGCUAAUACCGUAUACGUCCUUUUGGAGAAAGAUUUAUCGGAGAUGGAUGAGCCCGCGUUGGAUUAGCUAGUUGGUGGGGUAAUGGCCUACCAAGGCGACGAUCCAUAGCUGGUCUGAGAGGAUGAUCAGCCACACUGGGACUGAGACACGGCCCAGACUCCUACGGGAGGCAGCAGUGGGGAAUAUUGGACAAUGGGCGCAAGCCUGAUCCAGCCAUGCCGCGUGAGUGAUGAAGGCCCUAGGGUUGUAAAGCUCUUUCAACGGUGAAGAUAAUGACGGUAACCGUAAAAGAAGCCCCGGCUAACUUCGUGCCAGCAGCCGCGGUAAUACGAAGGGGGCUAGCGUUGUUCGGAAUUACUGGGCGUAAAGCGCACGUAGGCGGAUUGUUAAUUUAGGGGUGAAAUCCCAGGGCUCAACCCUGGAACUGCCUUUAAUACUGGCAAUCUCAAUUCCGACAGAGGUGAGUGGAAUUCCGAGUGUACAGGUGAAAUUCUUAAAUUUUCGGAGGAACACCAUUGUCCAAGGCGGCUCACUGGAUCGGUACUGACGCUCAGGUGCCAAAUCAUGUGGAGCAAACAUGAUUAUAUACCCUGGCAGUCC
RNAcentral lists this ribosomal RNA (702 nucleotides) under Mesorhizobium sp. RNAcentral's name for it is "bacterial SSU rRNA". It matches the Rfam family "Bacterial small subunit ribosomal RNA", at positions 46 to 796 of the family's 1533-position model. Lineage: Bacteria; Pseudomonadati; Pseudomonadota; Alphaproteobacteria; Hyphomicrobiales; Phyllobacteriaceae. The record is from RNAcentral.